RNAcentral lists this ribosomal RNA (433 nucleotides) under uncultured bacterium. RNAcentral describes it as "partial 16S ribosomal RNA". It matches the Rfam family "Bacterial small subunit ribosomal RNA", at positions 29 to 507 of the family's 1533-position model. The record is from RNAcentral.
AACGAACGCUGGCGGCAUGCCUAACACAUGCCAGUCGAACGAGACCUUCGGGUCUAGUGGCGCACGGGUGCGUAACGCGUGGGAACCUGCCAUUAGGUUCGGAAUAACUCCCCGAAAGGGGUGCUAAUACCGGAUAAUGUCUUCGGACCAAAGAUUUAUCGCCUUUGGAUGGGCCCGCGUUGGAUUGGCUAGUUGGUAGGGUAAAAGCCUACCAAGGCGACGAUCCAUAGCUGGUCUGAGAGGAUGCUCAGUCACACUGGGACUGAGACACGGCCCAGACUCCUACGGGAGGCAGCAGUUGGGAAUAUUGGAGAAUGGGCGAAAGCCUGAUCCAGCAAGGCCGCGUGAGUGAUGAAGGCCUUAGGGUUGUAAAGCUCUUGGACCCGAGAUGAUAAUGACAGUACCGGGAGAAUAAGCACCGGCUAACUCCGUG